ACAUGCCUACAGCAUAGCAUUAAUGCACCAGAUCCCAUUAGAACUUCACAGUUAAGCAUGCUCAUGCUAGAGUAGUACUAGGAUGGGUGACCGUCCGGGAAGUCCUAGUGUUUUACAUGCC
This is a non-coding RNA of Picea glauca (white spruce), 121 nucleotides long. The record is from Rfam. NCBI's taxonomy places the organism in Eukaryota, Viridiplantae, Streptophyta, Pinopsida, Pinales, Pinaceae.